CUCCAGACUCCUACGGGAGGCAGCAGUGGGGAAUAUUGCACAAUGGGGGAAACCCUGAUGCAGCGACGCCGCGUGAGUGAAGAAGUAUUUCGGUAUGUAAAGCUCUAUCAGCAGGGAAGAAAAUGACGGUACCUGACUAAGAAGCCCCGGCUAACUACGUGCCAGCAGCCGCGGUAAUACGUAGGGGGCAAGCGUUAUCCGGAUUUACUGGGUGUAAAGGGGGCGCAGACGGCAGCGCAAGCCAGGAGUGAAAGCCCGGGGCCCAACCCCGGGACUGCUCUUGGAACUGCGCGGCUGGAGUGCAGGAGGGGCAGGCGGAAUUCCUGGUGUAGCGGUGAAAUGCGUAGAUAUUAGGAGGAACACCGGCGGCGAAGGCGGCCUGCUGGACCGUAACUGACGUUGAGGCUCGAAAGCGUGGGGAGCAAACAGGAUUAGAUACCCUAGUA
RNAcentral lists this ribosomal RNA (446 nucleotides) under uncultured bacterium. RNAcentral describes it as "bacterial SSU rRNA". It matches the Rfam family "Bacterial small subunit ribosomal RNA", at positions 329 to 792 of the family's 1533-position model. The record is from RNAcentral.